This 200-nucleotide ribosomal RNA is filed under the name uncultured eukaryote. RNAcentral's name for it is "partial 18S ribosomal RNA". It matches the Rfam family "Eukaryotic small subunit ribosomal RNA", at positions 588 to 779 of the family's 1831-position model. The record is from RNAcentral.
GCUCCAAUAGGAUAUAUCAAAGUUGUUGCAGUUGAAAAGCUCGUAGUCGUAUUUCUGGUGGGUUGAUGUCCUAGCUUGGGCUUUGCGAAAGUAGAGUCUAGCUCUGGGCCGCUAUCAUUGUGGGCUAAAGUUGAGUUUGUGUGCGCAAGCAUGUAUUCUCAGCUCCACUCCGUCACUGAGAGCAAAUUGGAGUGCUCAAA